This 424-nucleotide ribosomal RNA is filed under the name uncultured bacterium. RNAcentral's name for it is "bacterial SSU rRNA". It matches the Rfam family "Bacterial small subunit ribosomal RNA", at positions 355 to 776 of the family's 1533-position model. The record is from RNAcentral.
UGAGGAAUAUUGGUCAAUGGGCGCAAGCCUGAACCAGCCAUCCCGCGUGCAGGAAGACGGCCCUAUGGGUUGUAAACUGCUUUUCCAGGGGGAGAAUUUUUCUGUCGUGACAGGAAUUGACGGUACCCUGGGAAUAAGCAUCGGCUAACUCCGUGCCAGCAGCCGCGGUAAUACGGAGGAUGCGAGCGUUAUCCGGAUCUAUUGGGUUUAAAGGGUGCGUAGGCGGAUUGAUAAGUCAGUGGUGAAAACCUGCAGCUUAACUGUAGACUUGCCGUUGAUACUGUCAGUCUUGAGUAUGGUCAAGGUAGGCGGAAUGUGUAAUGUAGCGGUGAAAUGCUUAGAUAUUACACAGAACACCGAUUGCGAAGGCAGCUUACUGGGCCAUUACUGACGCUGAUGCACGAAAGCGUGGGGAUCGAACAGG